Physcomitrium patens is the source of this 2165-nucleotide non-coding RNA. The record is from RefSeq and is a predicted model, not a curated record. NCBI's taxonomy places the organism in Eukaryota, Viridiplantae, Streptophyta, Bryopsida, Funariales, Funariaceae.
CGCAGGAGGAAUGGAUCAUUGCUCGAGGUUUCUGCAUCCAGUCUUCUUCGUCAUCUGCUGCUACCUCCGUCUCCAGUUCAGUGAUACAGAGCUCAAUCUCACUCUUCACCGCCUCUCUUCAAGCGUGUAGGGUUUUGCCGUGUCCUCCUUGAGGUGUGGUAUUUUUACGUUGUGGUGGAGUUAUUUCGAAACUUUCAGGCAAAGAUGAGCGCCGGAAGAAGGAAUAAAAUGAACUUGGGAGGCUUUGUACGUUAUGCUUGUCAUUGCUGUGAGCGUUAUGGUGCGCUGUCGGUUUGCCUGUUAGGUUUUCCUCUGAGAGGGUUUCCUUUUUGGUGACGAAGGUCGUCGUUUCAGAUAGGCUGCGGAGGGAGGAUCGUUGUUUGAUUUGAAGGAUUUGGAGAUUGAAGGAGAAGUUAGGAUUCCUGUUUUUGCACUUAUUUUUGGAUUUUGUCCAUGGCGAUGGACGAUCUGUCCGGCCUAAUCUGCCGCUGUUGCAGCAGCGCUUGCAGCAGCGACUCUAUAUUCCGCUCUCCUCGUCACGCUAGCUAAUCAUUAACCGUUCGAGUGCGUGUCUGGUUCGUCGGUGUCCAUCGGAGGCUGUCUUUGACUCUUCCUUGUGUGACAAAGGAUUUGUUCCAGCCAUCUGAUGUAUGCGUACAAUCUGGACUUAUUCUGCGUGGUAGCUUGAGUGUCGUGGUGGUGGAGUUAAGGUGUGAUAGCCAGAUAAUAGUCUUCGUUUCCAUUUUCCCCCUGGUGGUAUUAGCUAAGUAAGUUGUGCAGGGGUACGUAAGAUCGGCAUUCUGCUUUCCGCGUUGCUGUGAAUGUGUUUCUGCUUGCAAGUCUGAUUUCAGUUUCUUUCCCUCCCACGUGGUUGGAAUCGCCAUCGGUGGUAGUUGGUCCCACCGACUGUUUCGAUACUCUGGUCACUGUGUGCAGGGUCUGUGAAUCCAUCAAACCCACAUCAGUAGUGCGUCACCCCCUUGGCGAUGCUUUACGUUUCCGACAGCGCCAAGUCUUACUAAUCUGAAUGUUUACACGGCAUUGGUCCUUUGACACUGCACACAUCUGUGGCUGAUUUGUAAGCGUACCUACGCAGCUGUGCUCAGUCUCAAACUCUUCAAAUGUGCUGUCUUUCUUCACUGUCAUGACCGCGCUUCCGGGCUGCUGCAUACCAGAUAGAUUGAAGGCCGUGGCCAACCUCUUUCCAAAAAGAUCUACACUUUAUCCCCGAGAAAAGCUUCACCCUGCGCGGUAAGCUGAGACAGUGCGCUGUCCCUUGGGAUCACUCUUCUCUGUCAAGCUUCAAUCUAUAGACGUUUACCUAUUGACACUUCGCUCCUACCCAUAUGCACCUGUGCAGUGAGGUCCAGGUCGCGGAAGUACAUAGCUAAGCCGUCGAGUCUGUCGGUUCACAUUACUAUUUAAUGUCAACCAAUUCCCUCCCCCGUCUCCUGUUCCGUAGUCCCUAAAUUCCUCUAUUGAAACAAGCCAAACCCCAUUGGAAGUUGUCGAACCUUUUAGGACUGUGCCUGCCUCUCUUCUGCCCUGUCCAUUCUUGUAUGUGACUUUUAUUUCUGCACUGUCAACUUCUGAAUUCUUCUCCGAGUUGAUCAGUUUAUGUAUUUUUAGAACCUUAAAAAUUGAAUACCAUGAUUAUGAAUAAUUAAGUGAAUGUGUUAUUUUGUUUUUGCAUGAGUAGUGUUUUUUUUUUUUUUGUUUGUUUGUUUGUUGUGUAGUGUGUAAAUUAGUUGUAUAUAAUUAUGAAAAGUUGGAUAAGAAAUGAAAUUUUGAUUUUUGUUGGAUGGUAAUGCUUAAUGAAUUGGUGAUAGGAGGAUAAGGUAUUAUUCAUAAGUGAAAGGAGAAGAAUAUAAGAGUAGAUUGAAGAGAGCAUUUGUACAAUAUAAUACCAAUUGUAAGAUGAUAUAAGGAAGAGUUUAUAAGUUGGAAUUUGUAUAGUUUGUGAAGUUGUAAGUAUGUGGACUAGAGAAGGUCUUGGAUUAGAGAGAGGGAUAAUGAUAAAUAGAAGAAAAUUAUUGCAUGAUUUUAAGUGUAAUUUUUAAGAUUAAAUAUGCCACUCAUAAAUACUUGAAGUAUUUAGGAUUGUGAGUUUGGACUUUUUUGAAAAGUGGAUUUUGAACAUUAUUAAACAGGUGUAAUAUUUGACA